UUGCUCUUCAACGAGGAAUGCCUAGUAAGCGCGUGUCAUCAGCACGCGUUGAUUACGUCCCUGCCCUUUGUACACACCGCCCGUCGCUACUACCGAUUGAACGGCUCAGUGAGGCCUUCGGACUGGCCCCAGGAGGUCGGCAACGACCACCAGGGGCCGGAAAGUUGGUCAAACUUGGUCGUUUAGAGGAAGUAAAAGUCGUAACAAGGUUUCCGUAGGUGAACCUGCGGAAGGAUCAUUACCGAGUAUCGGGUCCUCGCGGCCCGCACUCCAACCCUUUGUGUACCAACUUCGUUGCUUUGGCGGGCCCGCGGUGUAAUGCCGCGGCCGGCUCACGCCGGUUAGUGCCCGCCAGAGACCCGUUAAACUCUUGUUUAAACAGUGUCGUCUGAGCAAAAUCAUAACAGUUAAAACUUUCAACAACGGAUCUCUUGGUUCUGGCAUCGAUGAAGAACGCAGCGAAAUGCGAUAAGUAAUGUGAAUUGCAGAAUUCAGUGAAUCAUCGAAUCUUUGAACGCACAUUGCGCCCUCUGGUAUUCCGGGGGGCAUGCCUGUUCGAGCGUCAUUUCAACCCUCAAGCUCUGCUUGGUAUUGGGCAUCGCAGGAGCCUGUCUCCGGCGUGCCUCAAAGCCAUCGGCGGUGGUGCCUUUCUCUAAGCGUGGUAGAAUUUUUAUUCGCUUCUGAGUUGGGUCUCACCCGCCAGAUAAACCGGGCCUCGCGCCCACUUUCUUAGGUUGACCUCGGAUCAGGUAGGGAUACCCGCUGAACUUAAGCAUAUCAAUAAGCGGAGGA
Molecule: ribosomal RNA, 792 nt
Filed under: uncultured fungus
Lineage: Eukaryota; Fungi
Description: eukaryotic LSU rRNA
Rfam family: Eukaryotic small subunit ribosomal RNA (bases 1-241)
Source: RNAcentral